CUCAGGACGAACGCUGGCGGCGUGCUUAAUACAUGCAAGUCGUACGCUUCUUUUUCCACCGGAGCUUGCUCCACCGGAAAAAGARGAGUGGCGAACGGGUGAGUAACACGUGGGUAACCUGCCCAUCAGAAGGGGAUAACACUUGGAAACAGGUGCUAAUACCGUAUAACAAUCGAAACCGCAUGGUUUUGAUUUGAAAGGCGCUUUCGGGUGUCGCUGAUGGAUGGACCCGCGGUGCAUUAGCUAGUUGGUGAGGUAACGGCUCACCAAGGCCACGAUGCAUAGCCGACCUGAGAGGGUGAUCGGCCACAUUGGGACUGAGACACGGCCCAAACUCCUACGGGAGGCAGCAGUAGGGAAUCUUCGGCAAUGGACGAAAGUCUGACCGAGCAACGCCGCGUGAGUGAAGAAGGUUUUCGGAUCGUAAAACUCUGUUGUUAGAGAAGAACAAGGAUGAGAGUAACUGUUCAUCCCUUGACGGUAUCUAACCAGAAAGCCACGGCUAACUACGUGCCAGCAGCCGCGGUAAUACGUAGGUGGCAAGCGUUGUCCGGAUUUAUUGGGCGUAAAGCGAGCGCAGGCGGUUUCUUAAGUCUGAUGUGAAAGCCCCCGGCUCAACCGGGGAGGGUCAUUGGAAACUGGGAGACUUGAGUGCAGAAGAGGAGAGUGGAAUUCCAUGUGUAGCGGUGAAAUGCGUAGAUAUAUGGAGGAACACCAGUGGCGAAGGCGGCUCUCUGGUCUGUAACUGACGCUGAGGCUCGAAAGCGUGGGGAGCAAACAGGAUUAG
RNAcentral lists this ribosomal RNA (787 nucleotides) under Enterococcus faecium. RNAcentral's name for it is "bacterial SSU rRNA". It matches the Rfam family "Bacterial small subunit ribosomal RNA", at positions 23 to 781 of the family's 1533-position model. Lineage: Bacteria; Bacillati; Bacillota; Bacilli; Lactobacillales; Enterococcaceae. The record is from RNAcentral.